AAAGCGGCCGCCACUCCUCCACGCUGCAACGAACAUAAAAGAGCCGCGUCGUCGCUUCCCUUCCAGCCUUCCAGGCUUCCACACGCAUCUCAUCUUCUUCCCCGACCUCGCCGCCUCCGCCGUUGACCCCGGCGGCCGACGCCGGCGAGGCAGCACCUCGCCGGACGCCCACCCCUGCUCCUUGAUCUGCCUAUUCCCCCUCCAGCAAUUCCUGUAGCCGCCUCCGGCCGCCCUCCCGCGGAACCCUAGAUCUCCGAUACCCCGCGCGCCCUCCCGCCGACGGCCACCCGAUCGGAAUGGGCCGCCAUCUCCAGUAAGGUCCAGCGACCCAGGAGUACCCGCCUCCGCCUUCGCGCGUGCGCGAGGCGCCGCCGCGAUGGCGAUCCGCAUCACCGUGUCCUACUCGGGCUACGUGGCGCAGAACCUGGCCGCGUCCUUCGGCCUGCGCUGCACCAGCGCCGCCGCUGCCGGCGCUGGCGCGGCGCCCGGCCCGGGGUGCCGCUUCCUCCAGGACGCGCUAUCCCGCCCCUUCUGCCUCUUCGCAACCUCCCGCCGCGCCGACUCCCACCAUGACGCCGAGGAUCACAAGAUUCACAACCACCCGAAGCCCAGGCCCAGGGCUCUGCCUCCGGCCGCCUCCGCGGGAGGCGGCCACUCGCUGUUGCUGCCGCGGUCGUCCUCCACCAAACCGCCGGUGGAUGACCCGCCAACGUCGCUGGCCGUGGGCCUGCUGUCAGUGUUCGCGUCCGAGAUGGGUUCGACUGGUGGCAUUGCGGGGGCCUCCUCCCUCGCGGCGUCCCCGUCAAUAUCAGCCGGAUUCAACCCUGCGGCGCUGCUCCCGUUCCUGCAGGCGACCAAGUGGCUCCCCUGCAGUGACAUCGUCACCGCUGCCACGGCGUCCCGCGGCUCAAGACGCCCAGCAGGUGCCUCGACGGCGCCUGCACCGCGAGCAACAGGUGCCUCGAUAGCGCCUGCACCGCCUGCAGCUGCACCAUCACCCCGUCCUGCUCCACGCAGAGCUGUCCCAUCGCCUGGUCCUUCACCUGUGCCGUCACCUGCUGUGGCUGCUCCGUCCAAGGUGGGCAUUCAAGCUUUGGUUGGAAGUGCCAGCAUUGCCUCAGGUUCAGCUGGAAUUGGUAGUGGCGCGAUUGCCUCGGGUGCAGCUGGGAUGGUGAGGAAGAGUGGUGCUAGUCUUGCUGCCGGUGCAAGGGUAAGCAGGAAGGCUGGUUGGCUCUCGAGGUGGGUGAGCUCAUGCUCGGAUGAUGCGAAGACUGUCUUUGCUGCUGUGACUGUGCCGUUGCUCUAUAGAUCAUCCCUAGCUGAGCCAAGGUCCAUCCCAUCCAAAUCAAUGUACCCAACAUUUGAUGUUGGUGACCGAAUCCUUGCUGAGAAGAUUUCUUACAUUUUCCGGGAGCCAGAAGUUUUGGACAUUGUUAUCUUUCGUGCACCUCCAGUCCUUCAGGCAUUGGGCUACAGCUCCAAUGAUGUGUUCAUCAAGAGAGUUGUGGCGAAGGGUGGGGACAUCGUUGAAGUAAGCUUUUAUCCCAAUGGUACGUGAUGGUAACUUGUUGGUUAAUGGAGUAAUCCAGGAUGAAGAAUUUGUGCUGGAGCCGGCUGACUAUGAAAUGGAUCCACUGACUGUCCCUGAAGGCUUUGUAUUUGUACUAGGGGACAACAGAAACAACAGCUUUGAUUCACAUAACUGGGGACCGCUUCCAGUGAAUAGCAUUCUAGGGAGAUCUGUGCUUCGAUACUGGCCACCGUCGAAAAUAACAGAUACAAUAUAUGAGCAUGAUAUGGCGCAAUUCACAGUCGCCACAUCCUGAGAUAUGCAUUGUGGCUGUACCACAUUGAAAAUGCAGUCCCAUUUUUCCUUUUCUUUUUCCGGCCGAGCUUUACUGACAAGUGUAAAGCUGAGCCGCAGUUUUUGCAUUCUUAUUUAUUGGAUGUCGCCUUGCCUCAGAUGCCCAUUGGCAGCUUGGCUGACAGAUUAGUUUUUCCCUCUCUACUGUCAGAUGCACUUUCGAAGGCAACAAUUCCUGUACUAUGUAGCCUAAGAAGGGAAACCCUGUAUGUUUCUGGAGGCAGAUGAAUGAGCUUCAUGGCUGGCAGUAGGCUUAGCAUCACAUGGCAAGUUCUGUUAUGUUUUUGAGACAUGGAGAUGAUGUUUGAAACUUGUGUAAAGGAAAUAGAAGCAUAAAAGAUUGGUCGGUCUGCGUUAUGUGGCUCUCUUCAUUUGUGUAUUGGCCAGCAUGGUGCGACUGCCGAGAGAGAAACCGUAUGGUUGGACUGAAUUGAUGCAUUCACCCAGACAAAAAAUUGUGUGAUGUAAAAUUUUUAGAUUUAAUUUUUAUGCGUUACUAGCCCUAUUAUCUUGGGGUGUUCGUGUAACUUGAGUGAGAUGAACCAAUGUACUGUUAUAUUUUUUUAACUAUCUUACCUGGUACGUUCACCUGUUUGGGAACA
Molecule: RNA transcript, 2466 nt
Organism: Panicum virgatum (switchgrass)
Lineage: Eukaryota; Viridiplantae; Streptophyta; Magnoliopsida; Poales; Poaceae
Gene name: mucin-1-like
Exons: 6
Source: RefSeq, a predicted model, not a curated record